Molecule: ribosomal RNA, 495 nt
Filed under: uncultured bacterium
Lineage: Bacteria
Description: partial 16S ribosomal RNA
Rfam family: Bacterial small subunit ribosomal RNA
Source: RNAcentral
GACGAACGCUGGCGGCGUGCCUAACACAUGCAAGUCGAACGGCAAAGGAGUAGUUUGCUUCUCUGGAUGAGUUGCGAACGGGUGAGUAACGCGUAGGUAACCUGCCCGGUAGUGUGGGAUAACUUUAGGAAACGAUAGCUAAUACCGCAUAACAGUAGAUGUCGCAUGGUAUCUGCUGGAAAGGUGCAACUGCAGCACUAGCAGAUGCAGCUGCGGUGUAUUAGCGAGUUGGUGUGGUAUCGGCACACCAAGGCGGGGAUCCAGAGCCGACCUGAGAGGGGGGUCGGCCACCCUGGGACUGAGACACGGCCCAUACGCCCUCAGGAAGGACCAAGAGGGAAACGUCGGCCAGGGGCGGAAAUCUGACCGAGCAACGCCGCGGCAGGGUAGAAGGUCGUCGGGUCGGAAAGGUCGGUUUUAAGAGAAGAACGAGCGUGAGCGUGGGAAGUAGCCAGUGUGACGGUAACUUACAAGAAAGCAACGGCUAACUACGUG